RNAcentral lists this small nuclear RNA (20 nucleotides) under Arabidopsis thaliana (thale cress). RNAcentral describes it as "snRNA_15737". Lineage: Eukaryota; Viridiplantae; Streptophyta; Magnoliopsida; Brassicales; Brassicaceae. The record is from RNAcentral.
UUGGCUGUUGCGACUCUUCU